CCUACGGGAGGCAGCAGUGGGGAAUUUUGGACAAUGGGGGCAACCCUGAUCCAGCAAUGCCGCGUGAGUGAAGAAGGCCUUCGGGUUGUAAAGCUCUUUUGUCAGGGAAGAAACAGCAGCUCUAACACAGCUGUGAAUGACGGUACCUGAAGAAUAAGCACCGGCUAACUACGUGCCAGCAGCCGCGGUAAUACGUAGGGUGCAAGCGUUAAUCGGAAUUACUGGGCGUAAAGCGUGCGCAGGCGGUUAUAUAAGACAGGUGUGAAAUCCCCGGGCUUAACCUGGGAAUUGCAUCUGUGACUGUAUAGCUAGAGUGUGUCAGAGGGGGGUAGAAUUCCACGUGUAGCAGUGAAAUGCGUAGAUAUGUGGAGGAAUACCAAUGGCGAAGGCAGCCCCCUGGGAUAACACUGACGCUCAUGCACGAAAGCGUGGGGAGCAAACAGGAUUAGAUACCCUGGUAGUCCACGCCCUAAACGAUGCUGACUAGUUGUUCGGGAUUUUAUCCUGAGUAACGUAGCUAACGCGUGAAGUCAGCCGCCUGGGGAGUACGGUCGCAGAUUAAAACUAGAAAGAAUGACGNGNGAGAGAGCGAGACGACGACGAGGGAGGAGG
RNAcentral lists this ribosomal RNA (612 nucleotides) under uncultured bacterium. Its description in RNAcentral is "bacterial SSU rRNA". It matches the Rfam family "Bacterial small subunit ribosomal RNA", at positions 338 to 948 of the family's 1533-position model. The record is from RNAcentral.